RNAcentral lists this long non-coding RNA (1230 nucleotides) under Fukomys damarensis (Damara mole-rat). RNAcentral describes it as "lncRNA (ENSFDAG00000027007.1)". The record is from RNAcentral. Lineage: Eukaryota; Metazoa; Chordata; Mammalia; Rodentia; Bathyergidae.
AGAGGCUGGACUCAAAUUGUGGUGACAACAGCCUUCUAGAGAGGGUCUGUCAACCUUGACACUGGGACAUUUGGGUUUGCUCAGGCUUUGCUGGGGUGGAUGGUAGUCCUGUUCAUUGCACAAUGCCUAGCAGCAUCCCUGGCCUCCACCAAGCAGAUGUCUCUAGACAUUGACAAGUGUGCACCAAGGGGCAAAGUCACUCUGGGUGGGAACAAUUUAUCUAGAUCCACAGGCCCCAAAUUCAUGAGCUGCCCCUUCCUGGUCUUUAUUGAGAUACAGUGGUGCAACUCUUGUAUCUGUGAGGCAUCCUGAAGCCUCUAGCAAUCCAGAGUCCAUUUCCAUAUCUCACAACCCGAAGAAUCCUAAUACACACAAUAUGAAGGCUGGGAGGGCCUCAAAGUGGCCCUCCACUGUUUGGAUGAGGCUCAUCCACUGUUUGGAUGAGGCGUGAAGCACAGUCACCCUAGAAGCUGUCCUGUGGCUGGAGCUGCAUGUAGGAGUGGGCGGGGGGUGCUACAGGGCCACACAGACCAUAUUUUGCAGCCCACACUCAAGUGUAGGCCAGGGUGUGGUGCGGCUCCGGGAACCUCAGUCUGAGCUGCCCAGGGGACCGAAAGCCUCCUACCCAAUCCCAUGGUCUCUGAAUGGAGGGAAAUCUUUUAAUGGCUAAACCUUGCUGUUUUCAAGGAUGAUGUUCCACUGAGAUUGAGAUUUCUCCUUGUGGAAGGAUCGGUUGUUCCUAGAUUUUAACCCUGUCCACCUUACAGAGACAAACUAAAGUACAGAACUGAAGACAUUUUGUGAAUGAUGCUCGCUCUCGGCAUGGGGUUGAAGCAGAGCCCCUGGGGCUUCAGUUAGGUCAGUGUGAGCCGUUGUUGCCUUGGCUACGUGCACAUGUGUCUGAGUGUGUUCAUGAGGGUCCUCUGCAUCACAGAGGAGAGGGAUGAGCCCAGCCUAUUUCAUGUCACAGGGGCCGUUGUGAAGUGCUUCAUCAGGACUGUAGACUGCACCCCACAGGAUGUGAGGCUUCUCCUCUCCCCUGGAGACUUGGCUCUUCUCAGCUUCUGUUUCCACUGCUCUUGCUGCCACCUGGUUGCAGGCUGUGAAGUCCCAGUUUCCAACCAAGUGACCGAAUUCAGUAGCCCUGGACUGGGUGCACCAGGGGAGGUCACUUCUGAGGAGUUAGCAUCCAGGAAUAGAUUCCCUUGGGAAACUUUACAGGCCACUUAA